AGAGUUUGAUCAUGGCUCAGGAUGAACGCUGGCGGCGUGCCUCAGACAUGCAAGUCGAACGAUUAAGACUCUCUUCGGAGAGUGUAUAAAGUGGCGCACGGGUGAGUAACACGUAGGUAAUGUACCGAAGGGUGGGGAAUAACUUAGGGAAACUUAAGCUAAUACCGCAUAAUGCAGCGGCUCGACAUCGAGACAGUUGUUAAAGGAGCAAUCCGCCUUUUGAGCAGCCUGCGGCAGAUUAGCUAGUUGGUAAGGUAAUGGCUUACCAAGGCUACGAUCUGUAACCGACCUGAGAGGGUGGUCGGUCACACUGACACUGAAUAACGGGUCAGACUCCUACGGGAGGCAGCAGUCGGGAAUUUUGGGCAAUGGGCGAAAGCCUGACCCAGCAACGCCGCGUGAAGGAUGAAGUAUUUCGGUAUGUAAACUUCGUAAGAAUAGGAAGAAUAAAUGACGGUACUAUUUGUAAGGUCCGGCUAACUACGUG
RNAcentral lists this ribosomal RNA (487 nucleotides) under uncultured bacterium. Its description in RNAcentral is "bacterial SSU rRNA". It matches the Rfam family "Bacterial small subunit ribosomal RNA", at positions 8 to 507 of the family's 1533-position model. The record is from RNAcentral.